RNAcentral lists this long non-coding RNA (949 nucleotides) under Phasianus colchicus (ring-necked pheasant). RNAcentral describes it as "lncRNA (ENSPCLG00000001706.1)". The record is from RNAcentral. Lineage: Eukaryota; Metazoa; Chordata; Aves; Galliformes; Phasianidae.
GUUGCAUGUCAGUUUUGGCCCUCAGGAUCAUCUCAAUUACUUUAGUGGUUUUAUGUAGGUUUAGCAAACCUUUGUUUAAAAGGCAAUUCUAAUGAGGUAUAAGAAGAACCCAAGGUAUCUCCUCUUUGUAAUCCAUUUUCUCUCAUUUCCAGAAAGAUAAAAAGAUGUGAGAAGAUAUAUCUUUAGCUCAUAACAGGCUCACAGACUGCCUGUGUCCAGGAGUGGGAGGGCUUUGAGAAACAUUACACUAAAUCUGACAGAGGAGAGGAUAUGGGGGAAUGCGGCAGCUUGGAAGAGGGGAAAGAGAAGUGCCAGAAUUGUGCAGAUAAUUCUUGUUCACUUUGUUAUGAGCCUGAAAGGAAUGGUUGGCGAAGCAGUCUGAAGUCUACAGCAUCUCCCAGGCUGAUACUGGACUCAUUACAGUUCAUGAAAUGCUCACAGAUUAUGAAUACAGAGACAGUUGUUGAAGAUGAUCAAAAGCACAGAACAGUUUCUAGAUAAAGGGAGUGUGAAGAGAGAAACCACAGAUAUCACAGUAACGCAGUUCCUACAGCUCUGCUCUGUAUUUUACCAGCUGUAUUGCCAGCAUCUAACUUCAGAACAUUUAAGAAGUGUGUGAAACCUGAAAUUGUAUUUUUCUGCUGUCAUCUCACACUCAAUAAGGGCUCUUUAAUCUGUGGGUGUGAUGGUUCUCUCUCUGUUUUAUCUUUUCUUUUGGUUAUUCUCCCACAAUAUGCAUGACAUACUAAUCAAUUUAAUCUCAUUUCAUAAUCUUGCAUCUACAUUUCUAAAUUUAAUACAUCCUCCCAAAUCAUUAGCUUGUUCUUGUGGGUGUUUUCGGCAUUGGCUUCUUCUCAUGCAUGAUUUUCUUUCUUUUUGUGUAUAUUCACCUGAUGGUAAGUUGAUGAGAUCCUAAAACAUUCAUGUUCUUGGCUGAAAGCAUUUUGCA